RNAcentral lists this ribosomal RNA (449 nucleotides) under uncultured fungus. RNAcentral's name for it is "SSU rRNA". It matches the Rfam family "Eukaryotic small subunit ribosomal RNA", at positions 564 to 1013 of the family's 1831-position model. Lineage: Eukaryota; Fungi. The record is from RNAcentral.
GUGCCAGCAGCCGCGGUAAUUCCAGCUCCAAUAGCGUAUAUUAAAGUUGUUGUGGUUAAGAAGCCCGUAGUUGAACCUUGGGCCUGGGUGGCCGGUCCGCCUCACCGCGUGCACUGGUCCGGCCGGGCCUUUCCCUCUGUGGAACCCCAUACCCUUCACUGGGCGUGGCGGGGAAACAGGACAUUUACUUUGAAAAAAUUAGAGUGCUCCAGGCAGGCCUAUGCUCGAAUACAUUAGCAUGGAAUAAUAAAAUAGGACGCGCGGUUCUAUUUUGUUGGUUUAUAGGACCGGCGUAAUGAUUAAUAGGGACAGUCGGGGGCAUCAGUAUUCAACUGUCAGAGGUGAAAUUCUUGGAUCAGGUGAAGACUAACUACUGCGAAAGCAUUUUGCCAAGGGAUGUUUUUCAUUAAUCAGGAACGAAAGUUAGGGGGAGCGGAAGACGAUCAGAU